GACUUGCAGGGGUCGGAGCGCGGGGGCCGGCCGAGAGGAAAGCUGGAGGCGCGGGUGGGGAACAUGUCGGAGUCAGAGCUCGGCAGGAAGUGGGACCGGUGCCUGGCGGAUGCGGUCGUGAAGAUAGAGAUGGGGUUUCACCAUGUUGCCCAGGCUGGUCUUGAACUCAGGGUCCAAAUGAUCCACCUACCUUGGCCUCCCAACGUGCCGGGAUUACAGGCCUGAGCCACCACACCUGGUCCAUCUUGAUAAUUUCAUACUCUGGCUUGGCAAAGACGGAAGGGAAGCCAUGGUGAAUGCACAGCAACUUCUGUACUGGUUUUGGAUUAGGAAUUGUUUUCUCACUUACCUUCUUUAAAAGAAGAAUGUGGCCAUUAGCCUUUGGUUCCGGCAUGGGAUUAGGAAUGGCUUAUUCCAACUGUCAGCAUGAUUUCCAGGCUCCAUAUCUUCUACAUGGAAAAUAUGUCAAAGUAUGUACAGAAUAUAUAUUUCUCUUUCCUUCAGAAGAAAAAGAUUUCUCCUGAGCCCCUGAAGAAUUCUUUAGACUGUUUGUAAUGAGUAAACCAUGUGUGUCAUUGUGGCACCACUCUCAGAUACUAAUUGCUCUUUGGCCUUCAGUGAUGUCAUCACUGCUUUGGUGCUAAAGUCUCCCCGUGCCUUCAGAUGCAUAUGUGCGU
This 677-nucleotide small RNA is filed under the name Pongo abelii (Sumatran orangutan). Its description in RNAcentral is "processed transcript". The record is from RNAcentral. Lineage: Eukaryota; Metazoa; Chordata; Mammalia; Primates; Hominidae.